Long non-coding RNA from Macrobrachium nipponense, 468 nucleotides. RefSeq lists it as uncharacterized. The record is from RefSeq and is a predicted model, not a curated record. The transcript is spliced from 4 exons. NCBI's taxonomy places the organism in Eukaryota, Metazoa, Arthropoda, Malacostraca, Decapoda, Palaemonidae.
GUUUCACAGUACCCUAACUUAUACGGUGUUGGUUCGUUGUCCUUAUAUUUCUUGUUGCCAAGUCUGCAUAGGGUGGCAAUACUAGUUAAUACAGGUGUUUUCUCCAAUAUUAGCCUGGAUAUUCAGACAAGCAGCAGUGUUUUCAUUGUGGUAUGGCCAUUGACACACCCUGGAUAUUGUUACAGUGACAGCUGAAGCAGAGGCCAGGUCAUAAGAGUUGGUAUUAUGUUGGACAGACACUUCUAUUGCCAUGUUGCAAGAAGCCACCAGGGCUAUUAUGACUACAUGGGACCUCAUUCAAACUCUGCACCACAAUCUAUAGUCUGCAGUUCAGGAUAGUAAUAUAACAGGAUAUUAUAGGAGAAAAGCAGGAUAAAUUAUCAAACUUUACUAGAAAACAUUAACAUCAGUGUGUUCACAUUAAGGAGCACCAAGUGGAGAAGAUUUAAAAUAACUGCUGCGGACAAG